UGUGCCCAGCGGAGCCUCUGAGGCCUCAGCAGAAAAGGGAUGAGUCACAGCUGGUGAGCUGGCUUGCCAGGCCGGACACUGGCCAAUAAUUAACACGACAAUUGCCCUGCAGGCUCCGACUUGGAGACUGGGCUACUAAAAGGAGUGUGCGGGGCUCGAGUUCCUCCCCUGCCUCUCCACUUCCUGAGACUUUAGAUCCUGUCCCCAUACCUCCCAUCUGCAGUCUCCCUGCGCCAGAAAGAAAGAGGUUAGGAGCAGUCAGCUUCCAGCCCAAAAUCCACCGAAGACUGCCAGUAAAGACGUUCAUGAAAGAGCAAUUGUACGGCCCAGCGAUUUCUUCGGACACCCGCCCAAGAACUGGAUGGUAAACCCAGAAGCCAGGUCACCAGCCACAUCCUACAGGGACACCUUUUGGUUGCUACUGACCCCUCCUGGAGUGAUUAGGGCUGCAAGUUGAAGAGGCCCAGAGAAAGGGAAAAACAAAAUUCCAAAAACAACAAAACAAGUGGUUCUGAGUUCGCUGUUCACAGUGAUGUUUGCCUGGGACUGGAACUCAGUAUGUCCAGGCCACAAGUGCUGGAUUUACAGAUGUGCGCCACCAAGUCUGGCUUUGGUCCUGGGGAUCCUGCGUUUUAAACAGUGUCAUGGUGGUCCAGGCUGCACUGAAACUCAGCAAUCUUCCUGCCUCAGGCUCCUGAAUGCUGAACCGUAAACGCUUCUAUCAAUGAGACUAAGAACCCUGAGAGGGGACCCUGAUUUCCCCCAUAUCAUCAGGUUAUGGAACAGGUUUCCAGUGAGUUCUCCAGGAGCAGGCUUACUGGAGGAAAAGGGAUUUCAGGAGCUGUUGAGAAAGCAAGGUGGUAUUUUGGAACAAAACUAAGGAGAACCCUGACUCAUACUGGCUUAAAACCGAAACGGUCCUGGCCUCGGCUUAGAAUAAACAGUCAUCUCUUCGUGGGACAAUUUAUAAGCAGGACCAGCCCAGGAUGUGAAGGGCUCACAUGUGUCUGACCCGCUGUGGAUAAGUAACCUCUGCAGAUCCCUCCCCUUGACUCCUGGCUGACCUGGGACUCUGCGUUAACAGAACUAAAGGCUGAAACUCAGUGCUGGCUUUAGUGCGGCACUGAGGAAAAACAGGUUUAAAAUAGGAUUUAAAAAGGGCUGGGGGGUUUGA
This 1174-nucleotide small RNA is filed under the name Rattus norvegicus (Norway rat). RNAcentral's name for it is "uncharacterized LOC103693208". The record is from RNAcentral. Lineage: Eukaryota; Metazoa; Chordata; Mammalia; Rodentia; Muridae.